GUAAUAUGUUUUUAUCUAGGCACCCCAAGGGGUUUAAAAGGGAAGACGGAAGAGCCGUCGCGGUCCCGCCGCUGUAACCGGGGACGAACCCUGCGAUAAGCCACUGUCACACCUGAGUGGGAUGGGAAGGCGCAGGGAGUAGGUUGAUCCGGGAGCCAGAAGACCUGCCUGGAUUGAGGCUUGAGC
This 186-nucleotide non-coding RNA is filed under the name Deltaproteobacteria bacterium. The record is from RNAcentral. Lineage: Bacteria; Pseudomonadati; Myxococcota; Myxococcia.